RNAcentral lists this long non-coding RNA (426 nucleotides) under Oryctolagus cuniculus (rabbit). Its description in RNAcentral is "lncRNA (ENSOCUG00000034943.1)". The record is from RNAcentral. Lineage: Eukaryota; Metazoa; Chordata; Mammalia; Lagomorpha; Leporidae.
UGGGGAGGAGGCAGUGUUGAGCGUGGGAAGAUGGCGGCCGUGGUGGUCAAACAACGGGCGCUGAGCGUGGGCCCAGCGGCGGUGGGGGCGAAGUUAGACCUCAGGCUUCUGUGUGUGACAGAUCUAGGGCCUACCUCAGUGGAGUGCAGUCGCAGCGUCUGCUGGCAGCAGGCCUCUUGGGGUCCCAGCGGCAGAGGCUCAGACGUGAGAAGAAGUGGCUGGAGUCGGCCGGGCCCUGGAGGACACGGGGCUGGAGCUGGACCUGGAAGUGAUACCAAAGUUCAACAACGACGUCUCCGAGUUUCAGAUGCUGCUCAGUGUUGGCUUAACCUGGCCAGCUGUGCCUUCCUCCUGGACAGGAGCAGCAGUGCAAAAUGCCCAACGGGAAGGCCAUGGUACUUCUGUCAGCAUUAUUCUGGGUACUGA